UAUAUUUUAGUGUAUGGUGCACAAUAGUUUUUGAUACUAUUAGAUAUAGUUUAAUUCUAUAAAAUAUAA
RNAcentral lists this transfer RNA (69 nucleotides) under Blenina donans. Its description in RNAcentral is "tRNA-Gln". It matches the Rfam family "tRNA". Rfam says of the family: Transfer RNA (tRNA) molecules are approximately 80 nucleotides in length. Their secondary structure includes four short double-helical elements and three loops (D, anti-codon, and T loops). The record is from RNAcentral. Lineage: Eukaryota; Metazoa; Arthropoda; Insecta; Lepidoptera; Nolidae.